CGGUCCGAUUGUAGCUCGCGGUCAAUUAAACUCUCUGUACUCACGUUCCAUUGUUUGAUAUCUAUACUUUAAUAUUCCGUCAUAUUCUAAUGGUUUAUUUUGAUUUUAUUUUGUACUACAUAGGUCAAUAACAAAUCAUCCAGCGUAAUCAUAAAGUUUCCAUUCCUCGAGAAUAAAAGUGUGCUCUUUAGCUCUUGAAUCUAUUAAACAUUAAACAUGCAAGAUGGUCUCACGUAAAGUAAAAAUAAUUAUUUUAUUAUAUUUUUUGUGUAUUUUAAAAAUCAGUGCUAAUACCAGUGAUUCGUCUUCUUCAAAUGAAGAUUCAUCAGAAACAACUGAUAAAUCCGUCAAUAAACAAGAUAGUUCUGAGUCUUCAGAAUCUGACGAAAAAAAUAAUGAAAAUAUUCCAAGCAAUCCGCAAUCCAAUGUAUCGGAUAUUUUUGCAGCCGAAGAAGAAGGACGAGAAAUUAUUGAUAUGCCACUACGUUUGAGACACGGAUCGAAAUGUUCAUCCGGACAAAUCCUUGAUCCGCAUGGAGAAUGCCGAGAAUUGAUAUAAUACGCCUGAAUAAUACAUGAAAAGUAUGUCAAACUAAUAAUCAAGUAGAUAGAUAAAGUAAUUUAAAUCUUGUAAAGUUUUAUACUGUCGCAGUUGAAUUGAUAAUAAAAAGAUAUGACUAUUACUAUU
Microplitis demolitor is the source of this 688-nucleotide long non-coding RNA. RefSeq lists it as uncharacterized. The record is from RefSeq and is a predicted model, not a curated record. The transcript has 3 exons. NCBI's taxonomy places the organism in Eukaryota, Metazoa, Arthropoda, Insecta, Hymenoptera, Braconidae.